GGGGCGUGUAGCACAGCGGUAGCGCGUCCGCUUUGCAUCAAGCUUGCGGGAGGUCUGGAGUUCGAUCCUCCACUCGUCCAA
Molecule: non-coding RNA, 81 nt
Organism: Periconia digitata
Lineage: Eukaryota; Fungi; Ascomycota; Dothideomycetes; Pleosporales; Periconiaceae
Source: the annotation of a GenBank genome assembly